This 7457-nucleotide long non-coding RNA is filed under the name Physcomitrium patens. RNAcentral describes it as "long non-coding RNA (PPAT_LNC013769)". The record is from RNAcentral. Lineage: Eukaryota; Viridiplantae; Streptophyta; Bryopsida; Funariales; Funariaceae.
CAUUCCAUGAUUCACUUCACAAUAUUCAGAAACUCUCAAUACUCUUAUUUCAAAGAACAUAACAACAAAAGAAAAGAGGUAGCACCAAGCUUACCCCGGCUCACACUAUCACAGUAAUGGCGGUUUCUUCCUCUCUCUCAUCCUCCUUAUCCUACCACAAGAUACCAACUGUUACAUCUCUAAUGAAAAUUGCUUUUCCUAACUAUUCAUCCAUUUUAACUACUGAACUACCUUUCUAACAGUCAUCUAUCCCUGUUUACACUAUAAACUAAGUAUCUACAAAUCAGCAAAUAACUACUUAUUCUACAUAGCCCCACUCCUAACUGUGCAGCGUCCUCACAAACAAUCAGUUUGAAAUUGAACUGGUGACUCCUUAGCAUUUCCCAUACUCAUUGCUACUGAUUAUUAUUCUAAAGUCACUUCUUCGUCUUCCCUGUAUGAUACAUUUAUUGGGACUAUGUUCAAUCUGGCCGUUAAAUCUUCAUUAAGUGCUUCCAAUUCACGGACUUGACUUUCCAAUUACAGAAUUCGGAUGUCUUUCGCCUCUAAUUGGUAUUGUUGUUGCUUCACCUUCUGUUCCAAUUCGCCAAUUGAACCUUCAAUUGACCCUUGUGGCCAUCGAACGCUGACCAAUUCUUCUUCCAAUUUCUUUGCAACCUCCUUCAGAGUGUUGAUCUCCCUUUGCAUUUCCUCUAUUUUCACUCUGAAUUGGUCACUCAUCGUCUUCUUUUCCUGUUCCAAAGUCGCCAUCUUCGUCUGGUUCAAUUCCAAUUGUUGCUUCAUUUUCUCAACUUCGAGUUUCGAUUGAUUGAGAGAAUUGGAGAGUUCUUGUUUCUGAUGCGCCAUUCCGUGGUGAAGGCGCUCUCUUUCCUUUUCCCACACUUGCUGUUUUACUCCAAGGGCAUGCUCCAGUCUCGAAUUGGCUUCUUUGGUGGCCCUAUUCACCCGAUCUUGUUCCAACAGUUUUUGACGUUGUUCUGCCAUUUCCCUCUUACACGCCACCAAUUGCUGCUUAAAAUUCGUGUGAUCAACCAAUUCGUUUGCCGUCUACUACAAUUGGGAUAAUUGUACCAAAAAUCGCUCUUUCACACUGUUCUCCUCUGGUGUUCGAUGUUGAAUGUCCACUGGCCCAUUGUCUCGCUGAGCCAUUGGACCCCUCUCCCGAACACUGAUUGGUUCUCCCGCCUGCUGGCUUCUUUCUCCUGGUCCCCAUAGAAGUGCCAAUAAAUUGCUCCUCGGUUUUGGUAGUACUGGAGCUGCUAUCAUCUUCCCUUUCUCCGGCAACGGUUGACUCAACUCAUAAACAAUUGUAGACUGUAUAUAGUUGGAACACAAAAGCGUUGCAAUUCUAUCCGACCUGCGCUUGUAACUCAACUCUGCAUGAAUUCUGGUGGCCACGUACGCUGCCCAAUUGAACACCAUACCCUCAAAGGAGCCUAUUGUCGCAUAUAAUAAUCAUUUAGCCAUAUACGUCGUAUGUCUAUUUAAUCCCAACCUCUUCUGAACGAAGCGCAUCCACUCCAUCAAUUCUGGUGUAAGUGCAUCCGCCGUCCGCCAUCCUUGAUUCCUUUCUAGCGACGUCAUACCUCCUUUAAAAUAACUCCCCGGAUUGAAGUCUGAAGACUCUUCUGCGCCAACCGCUAACUCUCCUAUUGGUAACUGUAAUGCCUUAUGCAAGGUAUUCUCAUCAAUUCCCAAAGUCCUCCCUUUUACAACACUCGAAGCAUCCUCAGGAUCAUAGUUCGUCAAGUAUUCUUCCAAUAGUUCUACAUCGAUUGAUGGUAAAUUGUCUGCCGCUCGCAAAAAAGGAUAAAGCUGCGCACUUCUAAAGUCCUUCUGCCGCGUUGCAUUCCAACAAAUUUCUAACCGCAUGGAUUCCAUAUUUGUGAGUAUACAAAGAGAAAGCUCAUCCAUAUUACUCCUUGACCUCACCCUUCUACCCUCUUCCUCCUUCUCCGAGGCUCUCUUCACCUUCUCCCUCGACAUUAUAAAUCUCUGCGUAUUCGCACUAAUACUAUGAUUUGCCAUGAACUCUCCACUAAAAAACUAUGCUUCAACAAUUCUAGACAAAAUACUGAAGACAGCUACACAGAGUGCCCCUCUCCUAACUGUUUACCCAGUUAUGAAACAAGAAUCCCUAAUCUUGAUUGCUGAUGUUCUAAUACACUAAUCAACCGCCGUCAUUUGCCUCCGAUUAGACACUUAUGAUGGCAGGCAAGUCAUCAUGAACAGCACGUCUGCGCCCUCCAAUCUUAAUAAACCCACCCCCGGGUUUAUGUAUAAUACAGGCGUAGUCGGUUUCCAUUGAUAUGGGUUGUGAAUUUGGUUCCCGUGAAAUCUUUCAAUUGGACGGAACCAUUGGGAAAAACGGCCAAUACGCGAUAGGGUCCAUGCCACCGAAUUUGAAAUUUUUCCCGAAAAAUUGUGAAAACGGCUGUCGUACAGAACGUGCAAAAAUCAUCUAAGAAUAUUUCCAUUGACACUCGUAAAUAAUCUUGAAAGGCCUGUGUCAUCACUCUUUGAAAUGUGGCUGGUGCAUUGCAUAAUCCAAAUGGCAUCACUUUGUAUGCAAAUGUAUCCCAAUCUGUUGUAAAGGUCGUCUUGAGCUGGUCUUCCUUGGCAAUUUUUACUUGAUUGUAACCCGAAAAACCAUCCAGAAAUGAAUAACAUUCGUGUCCUGCUACGGCAUCCAAUACACUGUCCGUAAAAGGUAGAGGAAAAUAGUCCUUCUUGGUAGCAGCAUUGAAUUUCCGAAAAUCUUGACAGAUUCUAAUCUUGCCAUUUUUCUUAGGUACCAUUACCAUUGGUGAGACCCAUUCGCUAUACGGAACCGGAUAAAUGAAACCCAGGCACAAUAAUUUGUCCAAUUCCUCCUUUACCAUCAAGGAAUAUUUUGGGUUGAGACGGUAUUGUCUUUGACGAACUGGUGUAGCAUCCGGAACCAAUGUAAUACGAUGUUCACACACCGUUUCUGGAAUACCCUUCAGAUCUGCAUACGUCCAAGCAAAGGACGAUUUAUGCCGGAGGAAGAAUGCUUUUCACUGACUCAAUUCGUUACCUUGAAUACCUUUGUAUAUCUUUAUAUUCUAGGGCACGUCAGGGGUGCUUAAGUUCAGAGUCUGGAAAACAGGUUCUUCCACAGUCGCCGAUUUAAAAUCGCCUGUUGGCCCGUCGUGGUGCGAAGGAGACUGCAACUGCUAGUGACUCAUGUCUGACCGCAUUGCACUCACAUGAUUGACAUCAUAUCGGGUCAUCCAUUCGAUAAUAACAUGAUCCGAGUUAGAGGCAUUCUCCUGAUGGAGUAAAUAUUCACCGGGGCCACCACAUUGGUAGAUUCCUCCCUUGGUUGUAGAAGGGGUUUGACCUACUCCAAAUUGCGGUGAAACUAUAGCAUCGUCAUCUUCCUCAAUCGAGUGACUCUCAUUAUCCGAUGUAAAUUCUGAUUCGGGCAGUUGGGUUUCUCCGUGAUAUUGUACCGGGUACAUUUGUAGAACAAUCUGGUCACUACCUUUUCCAAUUGUCAAUGUGUCGCGGCCCCAGUCGUUCUUAGCCUUGGCUUGAUACAACCAAGGUCUGCCCAAUAAAAUGGGAUACGAUAACGUAGAACUCUGUAACCUAAAUAUAAUAUAAUCAAUUUUGUAUGUCAAUCCCGCGAUUACAGUGGCAAUAUCGUGUAAGAUUUCCAUCGGCUUAACCCGACUAUGAUCUGCCAUUCGCAAAACUAAUGUCGUAGAGAGCAAUUGCUUUAGAUCCAAGUCUUCCAUUGUAUCAGAGUUCAUUAAAUUCACACUGGAGCCACCAUCGACUUGUACCCCUGGAAUUAAAACUCCAUCGAUUGAUACAUCGAUUGUUGGUGCUCCCGGAUCUGGGUUUAAGCUAACUUCAUGUAUUUCUCUAGUAGGGGAUCUCCACCGUAUUAACGCUGAAUUCAAUGUUGAUCGAUAUUCCGGUGCUACAACCAAAAGUUGCUUCAUUGUAAUUGAAGGCUGGAUAACAUCCAAAUCCUUCAAAAUGUCAUAGGGUUGCAUAUUGUGAGUAACUCCCAAUGCUCUUUUGCGUUUCAUUGGUUUCGUUUUGACUUUAUUCGACAGCAAUUCCUUCCUCUUAGUCGACUCUUCGACCACUAAAGGUUCCUUCAAUGGGUACGAGCUUAUAUUGGGUUGUGCGGGUAUUGGGACGUGGUCAUUUGGAAUUGAUCUUGAUGUCCCCGAAAAAUUGGCAUGUGAAACUGAAGUGGGUUCCUCGUCUUGUUGAGGGCUCAAUAUUGGUAUACGUCCCAAUACUGAUAUUGGUUCGGUCCGCCUCUUGGAUGGCGCUACUGUUGUUACUUCGAUUGGGUCAUCCAGGUCCUGAAUUGGAUUCUUGCCUUUCUGUUGGCCCCUGGUAAGCACUGCGUUCACCACCUCGACGCAAUGUACUGGUGAGUCCCAUUGAACAAGACCUUUGUCCUUCGUCGGUUGGCUUGUUUGCAUCUGCUGGUCCUGAUUAUUAUAAUUAAAAGCCGCAUUGCACUGCUGAUAAGUAUGACCAGACUGCUUACAAUUUCCACAUAUUGGGGCAUAAUCAUCACUUGCUCUUGGAUUAGGACAUUCACUCGCAUAAUGUCCGAUUUAUCUGCACCAAUAGCAACGAAGUGGUCUUCUGCCAGCUCCUUCAGGGAUAUUGGAUGUCUCUACUGGUAUAUAACGGCUCGGUCUAUUCCAUGUCGGUUGAGUAAAGGAUCCUGGUUGACCCAUUGGUACUGUAGAUUCUGGCAUUGGCUUCUGCAUGGGUGAAUAUUGAUGAUAUCCUUGCUGAUUCACCCCCAAGCCAUGGGUAUUGGAUAUACCUUCUUGGUGAAAUUCAGAGUUUUGGAAAUUGGAAUAAUUCCUGUUUUGUCUAUUCGCUCGAUUUCCAUUCCAGCCGAACCUAUUAUUCGUUUGUACUUGAUUUACAUCCCACGAAGUUGGUUGAUCAUGGUAUGUUGUCCGACUUGUUGUUGUUUCCUUAAGUUCCAACAAUUGGCAGUGGUAUGCUUACCCCCACAAAAGAUACAUUGAACCAGCAUUUGGGGUGGUGAAGAACAUUCGGUUACCAAAUGACCUUGUCCCUUACAAUUGCUACACCAAACAUUGGGUCGCAUAUUGGUCGGUUUAUGCCUUUUCUCUUUAUCCUUGGCCAGAUUCACAGCCAAUUCAUCCAUUUUCUUCGUUAAUGUUAACAGCAAUGACUCAUUGGGAUCCCUUGAUACCAAUUCAUUAGUCAAUUCCUUCGUAGGUAUUGGUUUUUGAUACGCGGAAUAAGGCACAUACGGUUGUGACGAUGAUGGUAGUACAGCCUACAAUGGAACGGCAUUCACUAUUCCCUGUGGAAUUGUACCAUAAUCACUCCUUCCCGGAUAACUUUCCGAUGCGUCAUUCCAAUUUGUCAUUUGAUAACCGCCUUGCGAUGGAAUCAUCGUGGCGCCAACGGUUAAGUACUGGUCGUAAUGACAUUCCUCCCAUACUUUUGCUCGCUUAAGAGAUGCUGCAAUGGUAGCUGAUUGGGCCUCCUUUACAAACAUCUUCAAUUCUGGUGGAUGUAAUCUAUUAACCAAUAUGGACAACACAAACGAUUCCGGCAUUUGGUUAUUUGGCCAUUUCCGAAGUAUAUCUGCUACACGACCAUAAUAUGACUGUACCGCUUCCCCUGGUACCAUUCUGCUGUUCAUUAAUCUUUCUCGAAGACGUUCUUCAAAACCAAUUGGUUGGAAAUGGGCUAAAAAUGCCGUUUUCAAUGCCUCCCAAUUGAUAAAUUGACCUACAGGUUGGCGGUUAUACCACUCGAACGUUGUAUCUUUUAGUGUCGCUGGCAACCAUCUCAGCCAAAUGUCUUCUGUCCUUCUAUUAUUGGCUACACACGCCAUCAAGAAUUGAGACAAAUGUUGAUCUGGGUCCGCACUUGGCAAACCACGAAAAGUAGGUAAUGGUGCGACGCUAGUCAUACGAUCGCCCAAGGUACCCAUUUGAACUGCAAUCGGAACGGCUGGUCCUCCUACCGCCAUUGAAUUUUCUGUUCUUCUGAAAUUUGUUUUAAAAUAAUCUCUGCUUUUCCUUACUCUAAUUACCGAGCUCUCAGCGGUCCUUGCUUUACUGUUAUUUCCCGCAAAUAGUUUUAUUGGUUGACUUGCAUGUGAAAACGUCAAAUUUUGAAAUACAAUAUAGUUGCCUUUAUUGGCGACCAAUUCAUGUCAAUCUGCAGAGCCCCUAUUGCUCGUUUCAGCGGUACCCCCUACUGAAAAAUUAUCCAAUGGAGUACCAAAUACUUCUAUGCCUCAUUCUCUUUCAGUUAACAGCCUCAAGAUUUCCACUGGAAUGUUGACAAAAUUUCCCACGAGUGCUCUUGGCAGUUUUUCUAACGGUACAUAAGACUGCAGAAUUAACAGUCUGUCCGGUUCUUGAUAUGUUCGGAUGCGCAGACAAGCUUGCAACCAUGGUUUAAUCCAAUUCUGUCAAUGCUUCCUUUUAAAAUUACGUUCUUGCUCCUCUCUACGCAAGUUCCUUCCUUGCACUCUUCCCUGUCUUUCUCUCAACUGAUUUAUUUUCCUCGAUGCAAUUCUCUCGUUCUUAUUAACCAUAAUCUUUCUUCAAACACUACUGAAAUUAUCUUCUAUUGCCCAUUUUCUAACACGUUUGUAAUUAAUUCCUAACGCUCAAAGCUAUUAUCACUCCCCGACAGCGGCGCCAAAAUGUGAUUGCUCGUUUUACUUAUUCCGGAAGAAACUUCCCAAAAUAAAUCCAUAUAGGGGAAUUCGAACACGGGGAGUGACUAGUUGCUUGAGCGUUCACGUUAGGGUCACACAAUUAAUUACCUCCAAUGUAUCGUCACUAUUUCCAUUGUCUAAGCACAUAGGAAAACGAUAAUCUCUCCUUUCACCUUAUCACUCUCUUCCUUGCAACAAUUCAGUCAUACCAAUAACUGUUAUUUCCACCAAUAUAUCUUCACUCUUAUAAUCUCCAACUGUAAUACCUCAACAUCACAGCUUCAGCACACAAUUACCCUCAUUCCAAUUACUGGAAUUCUUCACACAGAACUACCAUUCACAUUACAGUGUUUCACACAACCACAGAUUCACUCUUUCUGCUGAACUACAUUCAGAUUUCAGCAUUCAAUCUCUCUUCUUCUCAUUCAAUAACAUAUAAUUCCAUUCACACUUUCAUUCCAUGAUUCACUUCACAAUAUUCAGAAACUCUCAAUACUCUUAUUUCAAAGAACAUAACAACAAAAGAAAAGAGGUAGCACCAAGCUUACCCCGGCUCACACUAUCACAGUAAUGGCGGUUUCUUCCUCUCUCUCAUCCUCCUUAUCCUACCACAAGAUACCAACUGUUACAUCUCUAAUGAAAAUUGCUUUUCCUAACUAUUCAUCCAUUUUAACUACUGAACUACCUUUCUAACAGUCAUCUAUCCCUGUUUACACUAUAAACUAAGUAUCUACAA